RNAcentral lists this ribosomal RNA (491 nucleotides) under uncultured bacterium. RNAcentral's name for it is "SSU rRNA". It matches the Rfam family "Bacterial small subunit ribosomal RNA", at positions 26 to 514 of the family's 1533-position model. The record is from RNAcentral.
AGAGCGAACGCUGGCGGCGUGCUUAACACAUGCAAGUCGAACGCGCAGCAUUCUGUAGCAAUACAGGAUGUGGGCGCGUGGCGAACGGGUGCGUAACACGUGGAUAACCUUCCUUCAGGUGGGGAAUAACCCAGCGAAAGUUGGGCUAAUACCGCAUAACAUGACGAUGCCACAUGGUGUUGUCUUCAAAGGCGCAAGUCGCCAGAAGAGGGAUCCGCGGCCGAUUAGCUUGUUGGCGAGGUAAUGGCUCACCAAGGCAUUGAUCGGUAGCCGGACUGAGAGGUUGGCCGGCCACACUGGAACUGAGACACGGUCCAGACUCCUACGGGAGGCAGCAGUGGGGAAUCUUGCACAAUGGACGAAAGUCUGAUGCAGCAACGCCGCGUGGGGGAUGAAGCUUCUCGGAGUGUAAACCCCUUUCGACCCGGACGAAUGCCCGCAAGGGUUUGACGGUACGGGUAUAAGAAGCCCGGCUAACUACGUGCCAGCAG